CUUGGUCAUUUAGAGGAAGUAAAAGUCGUAACAAGGUUUCCGUAGGUGAACCUGCGGAAGGAUCAUUACAGAGUUCAUGCCCUUCGGGGUAGAUCUCCCACCCUUGUGUAUCAUUAUAGAAUGUUGCUUUGGCGGGCCGCGUGCCUAGCACGCCUGGAUUCGCGUCCGGCGUGCCCGCCAGAGGACCCCUAAACUCUGAAUGUUAGUGUCGUCUGAGUACUAUUAAAUAGUUAAAACUUUCAACAACGGAUCUCUUGGUUCUGGCAUCGAUGAAGAACGCAGCGAAAUGCGAUAAGUAAUGUGAAUUGCAGAAUUCAGUGAAUCAUCGAAUCUUUGAACGCACAUUGCGCCCCCUGGUAUUCCGGGGGGCAUGCCUGUUCGAGCGUCAUUUAUACCAAUCUAGCCUGGCUAGGUGUUGGGCUUCGCCGUCUGGCGGGCCUUAAAACUAGUGGCGGUGCUCUUAGGCUCUACGCGUAGUAAUUUUCUCGCUAUAGGGUCCUGGGAGAUGCUUGCCAGCAACCCCAAAUUUUUCUAGGUUGACCUCGGAUCAGGUAGGGAUACCCGCUGAACUUAAGCAUAUCAAUAAGCGGAGGA
Molecule: ribosomal RNA, 594 nt
Filed under: uncultured Lachnum
Lineage: Eukaryota; Fungi; Ascomycota; Leotiomycetes; Helotiales; Hyaloscyphaceae
Description: eukaryotic LSU rRNA
Rfam family: 5.8S ribosomal RNA (bases 235-388)
Source: RNAcentral